AUUGAACGCUGGCGGCAGGCCUAACACAUGCAAGUCGAGCGGCAGCGGGACCUUCGGGUUGCCGGCGAGCGGCGGACGGGUGAGUAAUGCCUAGGAAUCUGCCUGUUAGUGGGGGAUAACGCGGGGAAACUCGCGCUAAUACCGCACACGUCCUACGGGAGAAAGCGGGGGGUCUUCGGACCUUGCGCUAACAGAUGAGCCUAGGUCGGAUUAGCUAGUUGGUGGGGUAAUGGCCCACCAAGGCGACGAUCCGUAACUGGUCUGAGAGGAUGAUCAGUCACACUGGAACUGAGACACGGUCCAGACUCCUACGGGAGGCAGCAGUGGGGAAUAUUGGACAAUGGGCGAAAGCCUGAUCCAGCCAUGCCGCGUGUGUGAAGAAGGUCUUCGGAUUGUAAAGCACUUUAAGUCGGGAGGAAGGGCUGUAGGCUAAUACCUUGCAGUUUUGACGUUACCGACAGAAUAAGCACCGGCUAACUUCGUGCCAGCCGCCGCGGUAA
Molecule: ribosomal RNA, 500 nt
Filed under: uncultured bacterium
Lineage: Bacteria
Description: partial 16S ribosomal RNA
Rfam family: Bacterial small subunit ribosomal RNA
Source: RNAcentral